Gorilla gorilla gorilla (western lowland gorilla) is the source of this 3445-nucleotide long non-coding RNA. RefSeq lists it as uncharacterized. The record is from RefSeq and is a predicted model, not a curated record. The transcript has 3 exons. NCBI's taxonomy places the organism in Eukaryota, Metazoa, Chordata, Mammalia, Primates, Hominidae.
AGCGUCUCCGAAGGCCACCUCUCUGGCCUGGGCCAGGGGCCGAAGCGGGGUCGGCUGCGCAAGAGGCGGCAACUUUGGCUUAUACUGACUCAGCCCAGCGCCCCCUUUUUAUCCCACUUAAAAAUGGAGAAAUGGCCUCCGGGAGGAAGAUGUGAAGCGGCACGCUCUAUCUCUACUGAUCUUCACUCAAAAGCAGCCGCAGGAGCUGUUGCUAUCUCGCUGUGGUGCAGCGCUUUUCCCUCCUCCCUCACUUUCCCACAUGCCCAGAGGCAAAGUGUCUGGCCGACGUCUGAGGAGUGAAGAAGCCACUGGGAGCCACUCCCUCUCACUCACCGAACUAUGGGAGUAAAGAAGCUGCAACAUUUCUGGAGGCUCGUCCAGGUCUUCAGAAGGAUGGGUAACAAACUAUUUUCAGCCUGCACUCCUCUAGAGUGCAUCCUGAAUCACUGGGAAUCCUUUGACCUGCAGAUUCUGAAGAGAAAAUGCUGUAUAUUCCUUUGCACAAGGGCUUGGCCAGGUUAUAAGCAGCAGGAUGGAGAAGCCUGGCCUCUGGAGGGAAGUAUCAACUUUAAUGCUAACCUGCAGCUAGACCGUUUCUGUAAACAUGGAGGCAAAUGGUCUGAGGUCUCAUACAUGCAGGUUUUCUUUGCCUUGCAGGAUAAUCUGGACCUUUGCUGAUAUUGUAGGAUAGAUCCAGCCUGCCUAGCAGUCAUCUCAGGAGUGGCUGCAAAGGACAGUCCCAGGGAAGUAAACCCCAGGGAAGUAAACCCCAGAGGUGCCUCCAGCAGGGGGAUCAGACCCCUCCAGUCCUACUCCUGGUCCAUCAUGUCCUCCCUAUCCAGGUUCUCUCUCAAGCUUGUCCUCUCCUAGGAAUCCUCGUUUCAGGCAGGUCCCAGCCUCACUCAUGCCCCUACAAGAGAUGCCUUGUGAAUACGGCCCCAUUAAGGUAUAGACGUGUUUGCUCAUGUCUUUUUUCUACAGGACUUAAGACAAAUUAAGGGGGAUCUUGGUAAGUUUUCAGAUGACCCUGAAGGGUAUAUAGAGGCUUUCCAGAAUUUAAACCAAGUAUUUGAACUCUCCUGGAAGGAUGUUAUGUUACUUUUGAAUCAAACCUUGACUACCACUAAGAAGCAAACAGCCCUGCAAGCAGCAGAGAAGUUUGUGGAUGAGCUUUGUAUCUCAUACAGUGCCAAGAAAGGGAGAGGAUAUGCAAGAAAAAGACAGAAAAAUCUAUUGGCCACCCUGCAGCCUUACAAACCCCAGAAUCCCAAAGAUGCACCUGUUAACUGCGACAAAUGUGGCAAACCAGGGAAUGUUAAAAAGGACUGCCCAGGCAGCAUGAGGAAGCCAGCUCGACCCUGUCCAAUCUGUCGUGGGGACCACUGGAGGGUGGACUGUCCCCAGAGAUGCAGGUCACUGGGUCCAAAGCCAGUCUCACAAGUGUCUAACAGGAUUGAUGGACCCCAGGGCUCCCGUCCCUGGCUCUGACAGCUCAGACUGCCAUUACCAUCCAGGAGCCCUGAAUGAUUCUGGAGGUCGACGGGAGGAAGGUGAACUUCUUCCUGGAUAGCAGAGCAGCCAUUUCUAUUCUCCUCUCCAAUCCAGGCCUCCCUUCUUCCCUUAGCAUGACCAUGAAGGGUGUCUCAGGAAAGCUUUUAACCUGAUAUUUUUCCAACCCCUUAGUUGUAGUUGGGGAGACCUCGUGUUUACUCAUGUCUUUUUAAUCAUGCCCGAAAGCCCAAUUCCUCUGUGAGGCAGGGAUAUUUUAGCUCAUAUGUGAACCACCAUCCUUAUGGCUCCAGGACACACUCCUUGCCUCCCCCUGGUGGAGACUGAUAUCAGUCCAGAAAUUUGGGCAAUUCAAGGGAAAAUUGGCUGAGCCACAACCACCAUACUGAUCUGGAUCCACCUUAAGGAUCCCACCUCCUUCCCUAACCAGAAAAAGUAUCCCCUAAAACUAGAAGCUAGGAAAGGGCUAGAAGCCAUCAUUGAUAACUUGAGGAUGCAGGGCCUCCUCAAACCCUGCAACAGCCCUUGUAGUGCCCCAAUGUUGGGAGUACAGAAACACAAUGGGGAAUGGAGACUGAUCCAGGACUUCUGCCUCAUUAAUGAGGCUGUGGUUCCAAUUCAUCCAGUGUUUCCCAAUCCCUAUACCUUCGUAACUCAAAUACCUGAGGAAACUAAAUGGUUCACAGUCCUGGACCUAAAGGACACUUUUUUUUUUUUGCAAAUUGCUACAUCCUGACUCCCAAUAUUUGUUUGCAUUCAAGGGUCUCUCCAACUAGACCACCCAGUUAACCUGGAUGGUGCUACUCCAAGGAUUCUGGGGUAGUCCUCAUCUGUUUGGACAGGCAUUCUCAAAAGAUCUCUCUGGGUUCCUUCAUCCUUGGGUUAAAGUUUUACAAAAUGUAGAUGACAUUCUCCUUUUUGCCCCAACUGAGGAAAUCUCUCAGGAAGACACUAAGCCUCUUCUUAAUUUUCUAGCUAACAGAGGAUAUAAGGUCUCAACAUCUAAGGCUCAGCUCUGUCAGACUUCAGUGAAGUGCUUAGGUCUAGUCUUGUCAGAGGGGACCAGGGCACUGGGUGAAGACAGGAUUAACCCUGUCUCCUCCUUUCCCUUCCCCCAAACCCUCAAACAACUGAGGGGAUUCUUGGGCAUGACAGGAUUCUGCAGAUUAUGGAUACCUGGGUACAAUGAGAUAGCUCAUCCCUUGUAUCACCUAAUAAACUCAGGCAGCCAAGAUCAAUCCCGAAUUUGGGAACCAGAGGCCAGAAGGGCCUUUGACCAAUUGAAAUAAGCCUUGCUUGGGGCACCAGCCCUUAGUCUUCCCAUAGGGAAGUUGUUCAAUCUUUAUGUAUCAAAAAGGAAGGAAAUGGCCUUGGGAGUUCUAACCCAGGCCUGAGGUCCAGCCCAGCAGCCUGUAGGCUACCUAAGCAAGGAGCUUGAUUUGGUAGCUAAAGGAUGGCUAGCCUGCCUCCAGGCAGUUGCAGUGGUAGCUUUGCUAGUGCCAGAGGCUACUAAGUUAACCAUGGAGAAUAAUAACAUAAUGUGGCAGGACUGCUGUCUUCUAAGAGGAGUCUCUAGCUAACAGACAGCUGCCUCCUCAAAUAUCAGGCUCUGCUAUUGAAGGGAUCUACAGUUCAGUUAAGGACCUGUCUUGGGGCCAGGCGCGGUGCUCACGCCUGUAAUCCCAGCACUUUGGGAGGCUGAGACGGGCAGAUCGCAAGGUCAGGAGACUGAGACCAUCCUGGAUAACACAGUGAAACCCCUUCUCUACUAAAAACAAUACAAAAAAUUAGCCAGGCGUUGUGGCGGGCGCCUGUAGUCCCAGCUACUUGGGAGGCUGAGGCAGGAGAACGGCUUGAACCCGGGAGGCGGAGCUUGCAGUGAGCCAAGAUCGCCCCACUGCACUCCAGACUGGGAGAGAGAGCGAGACUCCGUCUC